Molecule: ribosomal RNA, 254 nt
Filed under: uncultured bacterium
Lineage: Bacteria
Description: partial 16S ribosomal RNA
Rfam family: Bacterial small subunit ribosomal RNA
Source: RNAcentral
CACGUAGGCACCAAGCGUUAUCCGGAUUUAUUGGGCGUAAAGAGCUCGUAGGCGGUUCGGUAAGUCGGGUGUGAAAACUCUGGGCUCAACCCAGAGAGGCCACCCGAUACUGCUGUGACUAGAGUGCGGUAGGGGAGCGGGGAAUUCCUGGUGCAGCGGUGAAAUGCGCAGAUAUCAGGAGGAACACCAGCGGCGAAGGCGCCGCUCUGGGCCGUAACUGACGCUGAGGAGCGAAAGCAUGGGUAGCAAACAGG